AAUACUCGGGGGAUCUUGUGAAAAUGCAGAUUCUGAUUCAGGGUGUUUGACAUGUGGCCUGAGAUUCUGCAUUUCUAACUAGCUCCCAGGUAAUGCCAG
This 99-nucleotide microRNA precursor is filed under the name Loxodonta africana (African savanna elephant). RNAcentral describes it as "mir-544 microRNA precursor family". The record is from Rfam by way of RNAcentral. Lineage: Eukaryota; Metazoa; Chordata; Mammalia; Proboscidea; Elephantidae.